CUCGCACUCACACACACACACACACACACACUCACACACACACACACACACACACACACACACACACACACACACACACACACCCACCCAACAACCCCCAAACAAACCAAGCCAAUUGAUAAUUAGCAUUUUAAUUCCAGAUUACUUUCUAGAACUUUUAAUUGAUUGAAUUCUUCCAGCGAGUAUUAUAGUGACGAUCUUUCUCCUUUUGUUUUAUUCUCUCCAUCCCUCCAUCUGUAGGGGGUGUGGUUCUCGCCAUCCCUCCAUCUGUAAGGGGUGUGGUUCUCUCUCCCUCCAUCUGUAGGGGGUGUGGUUCUCUCUCCCUCCAUCUCUAGGGGGUGUGGUUCUCCAUCCCUCCAUCUGUAGGGGGUGUGGUUCUCUCUCCCUCCAUCUGUAGGGGGUCUGGUUCUCUCUCCCUCCAUCUGUAGGGGGUGUGGUUCUCGCCAUCCCUCCAUCUGUAAGGGGUGUGGUUCUCUCUCCCUCCAUCUGUAGGGGGUGUGGUUCUCUCUCCCUCCAUCUCUAGGGGGUGUGGUUCUCCAUCCCUCCAUCUGUAGGGGGUGUGGUUCUCUCUCCCUCCAUCUGUAGGGGGUCUGGUUCUCUCUCCCUCCAUCUGUAGGGGGUGUGGUUCUAACAAAGACUUCCGACACCAACUGUCCGAGCUUCAUUAAAAAUGAUUGAUCACAAAAAGAAUAACGACCACGAUGUGUCCUCCUCCGUACAGACGCCGUAAUUUUAAAACCACGUGUUCGUCUCACUGCAUUUAAAACAAACCCCUCUCGCUGUGUCAUAGAUCAACUCCACAGUUCAUUACAUCCUCUCUCUCUCUCUCUCUCUCUCUCUCGUGUUUCUACGGGACUGUGACUGAAUACUAGGAACGCUAUUGUUGGUAUUCAUGAUUUAGCGCACCCGGUUAAUUGUAAAUCCCUGAGAUCACCUCCCACCUCCACAUAGACAAUCGUGAUGAUUAAAUCCCCUCCCACCUCCUCAGGUACACACACACAAACAGACACACACAAUGAUGAAAUACCAUCCCUCCUGUCAAACUAAACCAAUGAUGAAAUACCAUCCCUCCUAUCACACCAAACCAAGGGUUAAAUACCAUCCCUCCUGUUACACCAAACCAAUGAUUAAAUACCAUCCUUCCUGUCACACUAAACCAAUGAUUAAAUGCCAUCCUUCCUAUUACACCAAACCAAGGGUUAAAUACCAUCCCUCCUGUCACACUAAAACAAUGAUUAAAUACCAUCCUUCCUGUCACACUAAACCAAUGAUUAAAUACCAUCCUUCCUGUUACACCAAACCAAUGAUUAAAUACCAUCAUUCCUGUUACACCAAAUCAAUGAUUAAAUACCAUCCUUCCUGUUACACCAAAUCAAUGAUUAAAUACCAUCCCUCCUGUCACACCAAACCAAUGAUUAAAUGCCAUCCUUCCUGUCACACCAAACCAAUGAUUAAAUGACAUCCUUCCUAUCACACCCAACCAAUGAUUAAAUACCAUCCUUCCUAUCACACCAAACCAAUGAUUAAAUGCCAUCCUUCCUGUCACACCAAACCAAUGAUUAAAUACCAUCCCUCCUGUCACACCAAACCAAGGGUUAAAUAGUAUCCCUCCUGUCACACCAAACCAAUGAUGAAAUACCAUCCCGCCUAUCACACCAAACCAAGGGUUAAAUACCAUUCUUCCUGUUACACCAAACCAAGGGUUAAAUACCAUCCUUCCUGUUACACCAAACUAAGGGUUAAAUACCAUCCUUCCUGUUACACCAAACUAAGGGUAAAUACCAUCCCUCCUGUCACACCAAACCAAUGAUGAAAUACCAUCCCUCCUGUCACACCAAAUCAAUGAUUAAAUACCAUCUCUCCUGUCACACCAAACCAAUGAUUACAUGCCAUCCUUCCUAUCACACCAAACCAAUGAUUAAAUACCAUCCUUCCUAUCACACCAAACCAAUGACUAAAUACCAUCCUUCCUAUCACACCUAACCAUUAUCGGUAAUAGAGGAUGCCACGCCACCAUAGUAAAAAAAUCAAAUCAAAUGCGCAGAAUACAACAGGUAUAAACCUUACAAUGAAAUGCUUACUUACAAGCCCUUAGCCAACAAUUCUAGUUUUCAGAAAAGUAAGUGUUAAGAAAGUAUUUACUAAAAUUAACUGAACUAAAAAUAAAAAGAAGAAAUUAGAAAAAUAACCAAUAAUUAAAGAGCACCAAAAAAAAUAACAGUAGCGAAGCUUUAUACAGGGGGGUACCGGUACAGAGUCAAUGUGGAGGCUAUAUACAGGGUGUUACGGUACAGAGUCAAUGGGGAGGCUAUAUACAGGGGGUACCAGUACAGAGUCAAUGUGGAGGCUAUAUACAGGGUGUUACGGUACAGAGUCAAUGUGGAGGCUAUAUAAAGGUUGUUACGGUACAGAGUCAAUGCGGAGGCUAUAUACAGGGGGUACCAGUACAGAGUCAAUGUGGAGACUAUAUACAGGGGGUACCGGUACAGAGUCAUUGUGGAGGCUAUAUACAGGGGGUACCAGUACAGAGUCAACGUGGAGGCUAUAUACAGGGUGUUACGGUACAGAGUCAAGUGGAGGCUAUAUACAGGGUGUUACGGAACAGAGUCAAUGUGGAGGCUAUAUACAGGGGGUAACAGUACAGAGUCAAUGUGGAGGCUAUAUACAGGGUGUUACGGUACAGAGUCAAUGUGGAGGCUAUAUAAAGGGUGUUACGGUACAGAGUCAAUGCGGAGGCUAUAUACAGGGGGUACCAGUACAGAGUCAAUGUGGAGACUAUAUACAGGGGGUACCGGUACAGAGUCAAUGUGGAGGCUAUAUACAGGGGGGUACCGGUACAGAGUCAAUGUGGAAGCUAUAUACAGGGGGUACCAGUACAGAGUCAAAGUGGAGGCUAUAUACAGGGUGUUACGGUACAGAGUCAAUGUGGAGGCUAUAUACAGGGUGUUAAGGUACAGAGUCAAUGUGGAGGCUAUAUACCGGGGGUACCAGUACAGAGUCAAUGUGGAGGCUAUAUACAGGGAGGUACCGGUACAGAGUCAAUGUGGAGACUAUAUACAGGGAGGGUACAGAGUCAAUGUGGAGGCUAUAUACAGGGUGUUACGGUACAGAGUCAAUGUGGAGGCUAUAUACAGGCGGUACCAGUACAGAGUCAAUGUGGAGGCUAUAUACAGGGUGUACCAGUACAGAGUCAAUGUGGAGACUAUAUACAGGGGGUACCAGUACAGAGUCAAUGUGGAGGCUAUAUACAGGAUGUACCAGUACAGAGUCAUUGUGGAGGCUAUAUACAGGGGGUACCAGUACAGAGUCAAUGUGGAGGCUAUAUACAGGGGGUACCAGUACAGAGUCAAUGUGGAGGCUAUAUACAGGGGGGUACCAGUACAGAGUCAAUGUGGAGGCUAUAUACAGGGUGUACCAGUACAGAGUCAAUGUGGAGACUAUAUACAGGGGGUACCAUUACAGAGUCAAUGUGGAGGCUAUAUACAGGGUGUACCAGUACAGAGUCAUUGUGGAGGCUAUAUACAGGGGGUACCAGCACAGAGUCAAUGUGGAGGCUAUAUACAGGGGGUACCAGUACAGAGUCAAUGUGGAGGCUAUAUACAGGGGGUACCAGUACAGAGUCAAUGUGGAGGCUAUAUACAGGGGGGUACCAGUACAGAGUCAAUGUGGAGGCUAUAUACAGGGUGUUACGGUACAGAGUCAAUGUGGAGGCUAUAUACAGGGGGUACCGGUACAGAGCCAAUGUGGAGGCUAUAUACAGGUUGUUACGGAACAGAGUCAAUGUGGAGGCUAUAUACAGGGUGUUACGGUACAGAGUCAAUGUGGAGGCUAUAUACAGGGGCUACCGGUACAGAGUCAAUGUGCGGGGGCACAGGUUAGUCGAGGUAAUUUAGGUAAUAUGUAGGUAACGGUAAAGUGACAAUGCAAAGAUAAUAAACAGAGGGUAGCAGCAGCGUAAAAAUAGGGGGAGGUGGGUCAAUACAAAUAGUCCGGGUAGCGAUUUGAUUAACUGUUCAGGAGUCUUAUGGUUUGAG
Molecule: long non-coding RNA, 4034 nt
Filed under: Salmo salar (Atlantic salmon)
Lineage: Eukaryota; Metazoa; Chordata; Actinopteri; Salmoniformes; Salmonidae
Description: lncRNA (ENSSSAG00000113271.1)
Source: RNAcentral